RNAcentral lists this transfer RNA (87 nucleotides) under Deltaproteobacteria bacterium. RNAcentral's name for it is "tRNA-Leu". It matches the Rfam family "tRNA". Rfam says of the family: Transfer RNA (tRNA) molecules are approximately 80 nucleotides in length. Their secondary structure includes four short double-helical elements and three loops (D, anti-codon, and T loops). Lineage: Bacteria; Pseudomonadati; Myxococcota; Myxococcia. The record is from RNAcentral. RNAcentral also lists the same sequence under 1 other name.
GCCGGAGUGGUGAAACCGGUAGACGCGCUGGACUCAAAAUCCAGUGGGGGCAACCCCGUGAGAGUUCGAGUCUCUCCUCCGGCACCA